Molecule: ribosomal RNA, 253 nt
Filed under: uncultured bacterium
Lineage: Bacteria
Description: partial 16S ribosomal RNA
Rfam family: Bacterial small subunit ribosomal RNA
Source: RNAcentral
UACGUAGGGGGCAAGCGUUGUCCGGAAUCAUUGGGCGUAAAGCGCGCGUAGGCGGCCCUGUAAGUCCGCUGUAAAAGUCCAGGGCUCAACCCUGGAAAGCCGGUGGAUACUGUCGGGCUAGAGUCCGGAAGAGGCGAGUGGAAUUCCUGGUGUAGCGGUGGAAUGCGCAGAUAUCAGGAGGAACACCGAUGGCGAAGGCAGCUCGCUGGGCCGGUACUGACGCUGAGGCGCGAAAGCGUGGGGAGCGAACAGG